AUACGGAGGGUGCAAGCGUUAUCCGGAUUCAUUGGGUUUAAAGGGUCCGUAGGCGGUUUGGUAAGUCAGUGGGUAAAUCCCCCGGCUCAACCGGGGAGGUGCCAUUGAAACUGCCAUGACUAGGAUUGCAUUGAGGCAUCUGGAAUGUGUGGUGUAGCGGUGAAAUGCGCAGAUAUCACACAGAACACCGAUUGCGAAGGCAGGGUGCUAAAUGCAUAUCGUCGCUGAUGGACGAAAGCGUGGGGAGCAAACAGGAUUAGAAACCCUAGUAGUCC
Molecule: ribosomal RNA, 275 nt
Filed under: uncultured bacterium
Lineage: Bacteria
Description: partial 16S ribosomal RNA
Rfam family: Bacterial small subunit ribosomal RNA
Source: RNAcentral